UUUAAAAUAAAGAUUCAACCGAAGACAAUAGGUGCGCAAGCUUAAUACCCUAUCGAGGUUAUACAUUACAGUAUGAAUUCAUGCUCUCUUUGUAUGCCUCGGCGCAAAGAGAGUUUUUUUUAUUGAUA
This is a non-coding RNA of Alkalibacter saccharofermentans DSM 14828, 128 nucleotides long. The record is from Rfam. NCBI's taxonomy places the organism in Bacteria, Bacillati, Bacillota, Clostridia, Eubacteriales, Eubacteriaceae.